This 593-nucleotide ribosomal RNA is filed under the name uncultured Spiroplasma sp. Its description in RNAcentral is "bacterial SSU rRNA". It matches the Rfam family "Bacterial small subunit ribosomal RNA", at positions 135 to 716 of the family's 1533-position model. Lineage: Bacteria; Bacillati; Mycoplasmatota; Mollicutes; Entomoplasmatales; Spiroplasmataceae. The record is from RNAcentral.
AGUGGGGAAUAACUGUUGGAAACGACAGCUAAUACCGCAUAAUAUUGCUGGAUAAUUUCCAGUAAUGAAAGGAGCUUUCAAGCUCCGCUGAUUGAUGAGGAUGCGGCGCAUUAGCUAGUUGGUAGGGUAAUGGCCUACCAAGGCAAUGAUGCGUAGCCGAUCUGAGAGGAUGAACGGCCACAUUGGGACUGAGACACGGCCCAAACUUCUACGGAAGGCAGCAGUAGGGAAUUUUUCACAAUGGGCGAAAGCCUGAUGGAGCAAUGCCGCGUGACUGAUGAAGGUCUUCGGAUUGUAAAGGUCUGUUGUAAGGGAAGAAAUGGUAAAACAGGAAAUGGUUUUAUCUAUGACGGUACCUUACCAGAAAGCCACGGCUAACUAUGUGCCNGCAGCCGCGGUAAUACAUAGGUGGCAAGCGUUAUCCGGAUUUAUUGGGCGUAAAGGGUGCGUAGACGGUUUUGCAAGUCUGANGUUAAAUUUAGGAGCUCAACUCCUAAUCGCCUUGGAAACUACAAGACUAGAGUAUAGGAGAGGNUAGUGGAAUUCCAUGUGUAGCGGUGGAAUGUGUAGAUAUAUGGAGGAACACCAGUGGC